AUACGGAGGGAGCCAGCGUUGUCCGGAAUCACUGGGCGUAAAGGGCGUGUAGGCGGGCUGGCAAGUCAGAUGUGAAAUUCCACGGCUUAACCGUGGAGGGUCAUCUGAAACUGCCGGUCUUGAGUUCGGGAGAGGGUGGUGGAAUUCCCGGUGUAGCGGUGAAAGGCGUAGAUAUCGGGGGGAACACCGGAGGCGAAGGCGGCCACCUGGCCCGACACUGACGCUGAGGCGCGAAAGCGUGGGGAGCAAACAGGAUUAGAAACCCUAGUAGUCC
This 274-nucleotide ribosomal RNA is filed under the name uncultured bacterium. RNAcentral's name for it is "partial 16S ribosomal RNA". It matches the Rfam family "Bacterial small subunit ribosomal RNA", at positions 523 to 796 of the family's 1533-position model. The record is from RNAcentral.